UUGCCCUACGGGACGCAGCAGUGGGGAAUAUUGCGCAAUGGGCGAAAGCCUGACGCAGCGACGCCGCGUGGGUGAAGAAGCGCCUCGGCGCGUAAAGCCCUGUCAGCAGGGAAGAAAAUGACGGUACCUGAAGAAGAAGCCCCGGCUAACUACGUGCCAGCAGCCGCGGUAAUACGUAGGGGGCGAGCGUUAUCCGGAUUCACUGGGUGUAAAGGGAGCGUAGACGGCCAAGCAAGCCAGGGGUGAAAGCCCGGGGCCCAACCCCGGGACUGCCCUUGGAACUGCAUGGCUGGAGUGCGGGAGGG
This 305-nucleotide ribosomal RNA is filed under the name uncultured bacterium. RNAcentral describes it as "bacterial SSU rRNA". It matches the Rfam family "Bacterial small subunit ribosomal RNA", at positions 334 to 656 of the family's 1533-position model. The record is from RNAcentral.